Molecule: ribosomal RNA, 454 nt
Filed under: uncultured Porphyromonadaceae bacterium
Lineage: Bacteria; Pseudomonadati; Bacteroidota; Bacteroidia; Bacteroidales; Porphyromonadaceae
Description: bacterial SSU rRNA
Rfam family: Bacterial small subunit ribosomal RNA
Source: RNAcentral
ACGGGAGGCAGCAGUGAGGAAUAUUGGUCAAUGGGCGAGAGCCUGAACCAGCCAAGUCGCGUGAGGGAAGACGGCCCUAUGGGUUGUAAACCUCUUUUGUGCGGGAAUAAAGAGCCCCAUGCGUGGGGUGUUGCAUGUACCGCGCGAAUAAGGAUCGGCUAACUCCGUGCCAGCAGCCGCGGUAAUACGGAGGAUCCGAGUGUUAUCCGGAUUUAUUGGGUUUAAAGGGUGCGUAGGCGGGAUGUCAAGUCAGUGGUGAAAUGGUGCGGCUCAACCGUAGCAUUGCCGUUGAAACUGGCGUACUUGAGUGCGAAUGAGGUGGGCGGAAUGUGUCAUGUAGCGGUGAAAUGCAUAGAUAUGACACAGAACACCGAUUGCGAAGGCAGCUCACUGGGACGCAACUGACGCUGAGGCACGAAAGUGUGGGGAUCGAACAGGAUUAGAUACCCUGGUA